CGGGAGUAACGCGUGGGUAACCUGCCUCGUACAGGGGGAUAACAGUUAGAAAUGACUGCUAAUACCGCAUGAGCGCACAGUGCUGCAUGGCACAGUGUGAAAAACUCCGGUGGUAUGAGAUGGACCCGCGUCUGAUUAGCUAGUUGGUGGGGUAACGGCCUACCAAGGCGACGAUCAGUAGCCGGCCUGAGAGGGUGAACGGCCACAUUGGGACUGAGACACGGCCCAA
Molecule: ribosomal RNA, 229 nt
Filed under: uncultured bacterium
Lineage: Bacteria
Description: partial 16S ribosomal RNA
Rfam family: Bacterial small subunit ribosomal RNA
Source: RNAcentral